RNAcentral lists this long non-coding RNA (255 nucleotides) under Brassica napus (rape). RNAcentral's name for it is "long non-coding RNA (BNAP_LNC020978)". Lineage: Eukaryota; Viridiplantae; Streptophyta; Magnoliopsida; Brassicales; Brassicaceae. The record is from RNAcentral.
UGUCAUUCAGGAACUAUAUCGAUUCAGUUAUUAGAACUUUUUAUGAGGAAAUAAGAUAUGACCACUUGUUUGUUGAUUUUCUUAGUUUAUCACUGUCGAAUAAUAUUAUUACUAGGUUAAAGAUCCGCGCCUUGUUAUUUAUAUAUUAUGACAUAAUAAAUAUAUUGAAUAAUUAAAAAUUCAGUAACUAUUACAUAUAAAAUUAAAUUGGUGCAAACAUAUAAAUUUUAUUAAUCAAAACAAUUUUUCUUCUAU